AAGGCGCCGCCUGUGGAAAGUGAUGGAUGGAUAGCCUCUGCUCUGCGGUCAGAGCUCAGUAUCACCAAGAAAAACAUACUGGAAGGACAAAUGCAGUGACACCGCCCUCCCUCCACCUUUCCUCCAGAGUACUGCCCCCUUUGCAAUGGAGGAUGGGGUGGUGGUGAGUCAGAGAUUUGCCAAAUUGGAGCAAUUCUUCCUGGAAUCCAGGGUCCGUGCUAUCUCUCGACGCAUAUAUUUUGUUUUCAGAUCAAACCCGAAUCUUCUCUGGAAGUGCUCCGAGUCCAGCUUCUAAUAACGAGUGGAUACGGCUCUCCACCGCUCCACCCCGCCCUCACAAUGCCCAGUUAGCGGCGACCAAGCUGGAAACACACAAUAGGACUUAACAUGCAAAACAUGUCACACUCACUUUCAGAAGGAAGGGGGUAAAGAUAUUUGGAGUUGUGGACGGUGGGAUCUGAGUUGAUUUUAUUUAAGAAUUCAGCGGCACUGCUGUUAAAUUAGUGGGGUUUUGUAGGGUGGAGGGAGAUACAGUUGUUUGAGGGUCUGGGACAAUGAGAUGGAGUUGCACAAAAAUAUACUAUAAUCGGAAAUACUCUCAGCACGUAUCUAAAUAUCUUGAAAUUCAUCUUUUUGUCUCCCUGCCUCUGUAUCCAUUUCAUAUUUUGGAAGUUAACGCUUUAGGAAAGGAUUUUGCUUAUCGCGUGCGAUGGAGGAGCUGAAAGGGAGACGAGGGUCUAUCAUUUCAAGAACUUGAACGGGACAGUGAGGGUCUGAAAUAAAACGAACAGGGAAAUACUGUGUUGGAAAUGACUCGGAGAUUUAAGGCGUAGACAGGCAGCGAAAGUCAAAGAUAUUUGAAAUUCACCUUUCAUAAAUAAAAGCUUGGGAUAGGAGGGAAUUCAUAAUGUUCCUAAACAGCAGGCUGUGUGAGUGGUCGGGUUUGGCUCCUCAGAAUUUAUUUCUUUAUCCGUUCUGUUUAUUUAGAAAUACAUUUAGUGUCAGACUCGAUUUACACAAACAAACUAGACUGAAGACAAAUGAGGCGUCAUUAAGCUUUUUCUGUACGGAUACUAUAAUAAAUAAAAGCCAAGCAGGCAGCAGAAGCAGA
Molecule: long non-coding RNA, 1111 nt
Organism: Stegostoma tigrinum
Lineage: Eukaryota; Metazoa; Chordata; Chondrichthyes; Orectolobiformes; Stegostomatidae
Exons: 2
Source: RefSeq, a predicted model, not a curated record